AGUCGAACGAAGCACAGAUGUAGAAUUUCUUCGGAAAGGAAGCGCCUGUGACUGAGUGGCGGACGGGUGAGUAACGCGUGGGCAACCUGCCCCAUACCGGGGGACAACAGCUGGAAACGGCUGCUAAUACCGCAUACGUUUUCGGUGCCGCAUGGCGCCGAAAAGAAAACUCCGGUGGUAUGGGAUGGGCCCGCGUCUGAUUAGCUAGUUGGGAGGGUAACGGCCUACCAAGGCGACGAUCAGUAGCCGGCCUGAGAGGGCGACCGGCCACAUUGGGACUGAGACACGGCCCAGACUCCUGCGGGAGGCAGCAGUGGGGAAUAUUGCACAAUGGGGGAAACCCUGAUGCAGCGACGCCGCGUGAGCGAAGAAGUACCUCGGUAUGUAAAGCUCUAUCAGCAGGGAAGAAAGUGACAGUACCUGACUAAGAAGCCCCGGCUAACUACGUGCCAGCAGCCGCGGUAAUACGUAGGGGGCAAGCGUUAUCCGGAUUCACUGGGCGUAAAGGGAGCGCAGGCGGCGCGGCAAGUCUGAUGUGAAAGCCCGGGGCUCAACCCCGGGUCUGCAUUGGAAACUGUCGAGCUAGAGUGUCGGAGGGGUAAGCGGAAUUCCUAGUGUAGCGGUGAAAUGCGUAGAUAUUAGAAGGAACACCAGUGGCGAAGGCGGCUUACUGGACGAUGACUGACGCUGAGGCUCGAAAGCGUGGGGAGCAAACAAGAUUAGAUACCCUGGUAGUCCACGCCGUA
RNAcentral lists this ribosomal RNA (746 nucleotides) under uncultured bacterium. RNAcentral's name for it is "bacterial SSU rRNA". It matches the Rfam family "Bacterial small subunit ribosomal RNA", at positions 60 to 804 of the family's 1533-position model. The record is from RNAcentral.